Molecule: ribosomal RNA, 460 nt
Filed under: uncultured bacterium
Lineage: Bacteria
Description: partial 16S ribosomal RNA
Rfam family: Bacterial small subunit ribosomal RNA
Source: RNAcentral
CCUACGGGAGACAGCAGUGAGGAAUAUUGGUCAAUGGCCGGAAGGCUGAACCAGCCAUGCCGCGUGAAGGUCAGUGCCCUAUGGGCGUUAAACUUCUUUUGUGCGGGAGCAAUAAUGGUCACGUGUGGCCAGACGAGAGUACCGUACGAAUAAGCAUAGACUAACUCCGUGCCAGCAGCCGCGGUAAUACGGGGGAUGCAAGCGUUAUCCGGAUUGAUUGGGUUUAAAGGGUGCGUAGGCUGUGAGGGAAGUCAGCGGUGAAAUGCCCCCGCUCAACGGGGUGAAGUGCCAUUGAUACUGCCUUGCUGGAAUGCGGAUGCCGUGGGAGGAAUGUGUGGUGUAGCGGUGAAAUGCAUAGAUAUCACACAGAACACCGAUUGCGAAGGCAUCUCACGAAUCCGCGAUUGACGCUGAUGCACGAAAGCGUGGGUAUCGAACAGGAUUAGAUACCCCUGUAGUC